GAUGAACGCUGGCGGCGUGCUUAACACAUGCAAGUCGAACGAUGAUGCCCAGCUUGCUGGGUGGAUUAGUGGCGAACGGGUGAGUAACACGUGAGCAACCUGCCCCUGACUCUGGGAUAAGCGCUGGAAACGGCGUCUAAUACUGGAUACGAACAAGAAUCGCAUGGUUACUUGUUGGAAAGAUUUUUUGGUUGGGGAUGGGCUCGCGGCCUAUCAGCUUGUUGGUGAGGUAAUGGCUCACCAAGGCGUCGACGGGUAGCCGGCCUGAGAGGGUGACCGGCCACACUGGGACUGAGACACGGCCCAGACUCCUACGGGAGGCAGCAGUGGGGAAUAUUGCACAAUGGGCGGAAGCUUGAUGCAGCAACGCCGCGUGAGGGAUGACGGCCUUCGGGUUGUAAACCUCUUUUAGCAGGGGAGAAGCGAGAGUGACGGUACCUGCAGAAAAAGCGCCGGCUAACUACGUGCCAGCAGCCGCGGUAAUACGUAGGGCGCAAGCGUUAUCCGGAAUUAUUGGGCGUGAAGAGCUCGUAGGCGGUUUGUCGCGUCUGCUGUGAAAUCCCGAGGCUCAACCUCGGGCCUGCAGUGGGUACGGGCAGACUAGAGUGCGGUAGGGGAGAUUGGAAUUCCUGGUGUAGCGGUGGAAUGCGCAGAUAUCAGGAGGAACACCGAUGGCGAAGGCAGAUCUCUGGGCCGUAACUGACGCUGAGGAGCGAAAGGGUGGGGAGCAAACAGGCUUAGAUACCCUGGUAGUCCACCCCGUAAACGUUGGGAACUAGUUGUGGGGUCCAUUCCACGGAUUCCGUGACGCAGCUAACGCAUUAAGUUCCCCGCCUGGGGAGUACGGCCGCAAGGCUAAAACUCAAAGGAAUUGACGGGGACCCGCACAAGCGGCGGAGUAUGCGGAUUAAUUCGAUGCAACGCGAAGAACCUUACCAAGGCUUGACAUAUACGAGAACGGGCCAGAAAUGGUCAACUCUUUGGACACUCGUAAACAGGUGGUGCAUGGUUGUCGUCAGCUCGUGUCGUGAGAUGUUGGGUUAAGUCCCGCAACGAGCGCAACCCUCGUUCUAUGUUGCCAGCACGUAAUGGUGGGAACUCAUGGGAUACUGCCGGGGUCAACUCGGAGGAAGGUGGGGAUGACGUCAAAUCAUCAUGCCCCUUAUGUCUUGGGCUUCACGCAUGCUACAAUGGCCGGUACAAUGGGCAGCGAUACCGUGAGGUGGAGCGAAUCCCAAAAAGCCGGUCCCAGUUCGGAUUGAGGUCUGCAACUCGACCUCAUGAAGUCGGAGUCGCUAGUAAUCGCAGAUCAGCAACGCUGCGGUGAAUACGUUCCCGGGUCU
This 1343-nucleotide ribosomal RNA is filed under the name uncultured bacterium. RNAcentral's name for it is "bacterial SSU rRNA". It matches the Rfam family "Bacterial small subunit ribosomal RNA", at positions 28 to 1381 of the family's 1533-position model. The record is from RNAcentral.